UUCGCCUUUAUUCCUUUUUCUUCAUCUUUGAGCACAAUCUUCUUGUGUUGAUCUUCGAAGUUUUCAUACUUUAGGAUUUCGGCUUCAUUUCUUCAAAGCCUUUAUCUUCAUUCUUAUCUCAGGUGUGCCUAGGGAUUGAGAAGGAUCGGAAAUCUCUUGAAGUGAUAAAAGUAACUUGUUCCACAAGUAAGCGUAUUGGUAAAGCUUCAAGAGGUGCCCAGAUUUCCGGUGAGUCCUCACUAGGCAGGGACACGACACGUGGCUGAGGCAGUUGACAGACCGGAUUUUGAGUGGCUGUAGGCUACUACCUUUUUGGAGUGUUUGAUGUAUUUUAGUAUUUUCGCAUUUGAUGGAUCAUGAUAUUGAUCCUUUAUUUUGUAUAUGGCCUGUAUAUGUUUUGUACA
Long non-coding RNA from Gastrolobium bilobum, 404 nucleotides. RefSeq lists it as uncharacterized. Lineage: Eukaryota; Viridiplantae; Streptophyta; Magnoliopsida; Fabales; Fabaceae. The transcript is spliced from 3 exons. The record is from RefSeq and is a predicted model, not a curated record.